Molecule: ribosomal RNA, 544 nt
Filed under: uncultured bacterium
Lineage: Bacteria
Description: bacterial SSU rRNA
Rfam family: Bacterial small subunit ribosomal RNA
Source: RNAcentral
AAUAGAUACCCAGGUAGUCCACGCCGUAAACGAUGGAUACUAGCUGUUGGAGGUAUCGACCCCUUCAGUAGCGAAGCUAACGCGUUAAGUAUCCCGCCUGUGGAGUACGGUCGCAAGACUAAAACAUAAAGGAAUUGACGGGGACCCGCACAAGCGGUGGAUCGUGUUCUUUAAUUCGAUGAUAAACGAAGAACCUUACCAGGGCUUGACAUCCCAAGAAGGCUUCCGAAAGGAAACUGUGCCGUAAGGAACUUGGUGACAGAUGAUGCAUGGCCGUCGUCAGCUCGUGUCGUGAGAUGUUUGGUUAAGUCCAUUAACGAGCGCAACCCUUGUGAAUAGUUGUAUUUUUCUAUUCAGACUGCCCCGGUAACGGGGAGGAAGGAGGGGAUGAGGUCAGGUCUGUAUUUCUCUUACGGUCCUGGGCUAGAAACACGAUACAAUGGCUAGUACAAUGCGCAGCGAAGCCGCGAGGUGGAGCAAAUCGCAUCAAAGCUAGUCCCAGUUCGGAUAAGAGGCUGAACUCGCUCUUGAAGUCGGAAUCGCU